GAACACAUAAACUAUACGAAAAUGAUAUGCGAAUGUAAUAGAUAUAA
Molecule: unclassified non-coding RNA, 47 nt
Filed under: Leishmania tarentolae
Lineage: Eukaryota; Euglenozoa; Kinetoplastea; Trypanosomatida; Trypanosomatidae
Description: guide RNA
Source: RNAcentral